AUGCUUUCUUCAGCAAAGUAUAUAUACUGAAAUUAGAACAAUACAGAGAAGAUUAGCCUCGCCUCUCUGCAAGGAUGACAUGCAAAUUCGUAAAGCAUUUCCUAUCUUA
Molecule: small nuclear RNA, 109 nt
Organism: Suricata suricatta (meerkat)
Lineage: Eukaryota; Metazoa; Chordata; Mammalia; Carnivora; Herpestidae
Source: Ensembl